Molecule: ribosomal RNA, 250 nt
Filed under: uncultured bacterium
Lineage: Bacteria
Description: partial 16S ribosomal RNA
Rfam family: Bacterial small subunit ribosomal RNA
Source: RNAcentral
UACGGGGGGAGCAAACGUUGUUCGGAAUUACUGGGCGUAAAGGGCGUGUAGGCGGCCAUGCAAGUCGGGGGUGAAAUCCACUGGCUUAACCAGUGACGUGCCUUCGAAACUGCAUGGCUUGAGUAUGGCAGAGGGAAGCGGAAUUCCAGGUGUAGCGGUGAAAUGCGUAGAUAUCUGGAAGAACACCGGUGGCGAAGGCGGCUUCCUGGGCCAAUACUGACGCUGAUGCGCGAAAGCCAGGGGAGCAAAC